AUUUUCAGCUCCUUAAAAUGCGCCAGCAAUGUGCCUGGACACACCUCUUUUUUAGACCAGCACGCCCAUGGGCGCAAAUGCAUUUGCUAAUUAAACGACGUGGCGCUGGACGGGAAAAUGCAAUUGGCGCCGGACUGAAACUAGUAAACACACUUGUAUGACAGGACCCUAGAUCAUUAAUUUAAUAUGGAGAUAAAGAAAACAGCGGAUGACAAACUCUCCUGAACCAUAAAUGAAGCCUGCCAAGUGUAUCCUUAUAAAACGUGGUCUUAGCCGCUUACUGGAACAAUUCAAAUUGAAUCACACCACAAUAGCUGUCAGCCUUACAUACUGGUCACAUCAAACAGUUUUUCAAGAACGAUGAGUCUUCUAUAAAUACGGACUGCUUCACACAAUGGUGCUUCACAUUUUCAUUCCCCUGUGCUGUAUUUAAAUGCUUUGCUAGCAGCACUCCAUUAACAUGUGGCAUUCGCUCGUACAAAUGGCUAGUCGCCCUCUAAUUUACGUCAUCAAGUAUACAUAGAUGGCUCACCACCCCCCCGAACAAAAUCCUCUAGAGACCCACCCCAACCAGAACUUAAAAGAACAGGCUGGUUAAGAGGCAUCACGGUUGCACCUUGCUGCCUGGCUUCCUUGUGUGGGGAUUUGGGUUUUAGCACCAGAAAAUUCAACUCCUCUUCACUACUGAGGUCUGGGCUUUGUACGAUUCUCUUUUGGGGAUUGUCUCUAUUCACGCUCCUCUCUGUAAUAGGAGGCAGAUGGGUGGAUGGAUCAGUUAAUAGUGGGUACAGUUCCUGUCGAUGAAUAUUCCUUUCUGGUCCCUACUGUCCUUUAGGUUUAAUCUAUAUAAAGGGUCUGCACCUUAUCCAGGCACUACUUCAUAGACAACAGACUCCCAUUGAUCCUGAAUUUUAUGGCGAUUAACAGAGUGACUUUGUCUGUAGACAAGUGAACCUGGAGGCAAAAUGGACAAUGGAACAGAAUGAUUUCGGGUCCUAUAAGCAGCCGCUGCUUCCAGCUGAGUUCGUGCUUUAAGAUAAAUUGUUUUCAAAUUUUGCUGAUGUUCACUGGCCCAGUCUUCCACAGUGCCACCUACUGCUUCCUCCUCUAUUAACCCCAGCAAUGAAUGCACUGGAAGAAGGGGCUUUCUCCCAAACAUCAAUUCAUAUGGAGUGAAUCCUGUACACUGAUGUACAGAGGUGUUGUAUGCAAACGACAUUUGAGGCAGAUGUUGAGGCCAUCUUCUUUUCUGUUCUGGGGGUAAAGUGCACAGUAACUCCUAUUGCAAGUAAAGUGUUCUAUUGAAUCAUUCGCACUGCCCGUUACCCUCUGGGUGGUAUGGGCAAGUUCAUGACUUCUCAAUUCCAUACAACUGACAGAUGUGAUUAAGUAACUCACUCUCAAAAUUUCGACCUUGGUCUGAAUGUAUCCGCUUGGGGACCCCAUAUACAUAGAACCAAUGUUCAGUGAGGAUAUGCACCACAGUUCUUGCCUUCUGGUCUUGUGUAGGAUGCUUGUGCAAACUUAAAGAACAAACAAGUUACCACUAGAAGAUUUUCUCUACCAUCACUGGCUCAUUCCAGCAUGGUAAAAUCGAUAGCCACAAUAUACAGUGGUCUAGAUGCCAGCAGACUUCCCAUAAAGGUUCUUACUUUUGGUUGGACUGCCUUGGCUGCAAGACACCUAUGACCUUCUUGACAUCAGCGUUCAAUGUCGCAUCACAUAAAUGGCCAAUAACAACGCUGACGUACAAGGGGGGUGGUUCUUUCUACCCAUUGGUGGCCAUGCUGGUCGUGGAGAUUGGUAAGUACUUCAGUUUUCAAUCUCUGGGGUAAUAACAGUUGCAAAACUUCUUUUCCCCCAGGUACAUGAUUUUUAAGAUACAGGACUACCUGCUGUUCCUGGAUUCUCUUCCAGUGACGCACCAACUCUGUAACUUCUGGAGAUUAUUUUCCUCAUUCCACAGCUGUAGGAAUUGUGCCCUGCUUCUGAUAUACCAAAAAACCUGUAUCACUGGAUCUUCUUGCUGCAAUACUUGUAAGACUGCUUUACCUCAUGCUGGAACUGCCUCCAUGGUUGAUAUAGAGGCAGACAAAUGUUGACCCGAGCUAUCAGCAACCAUUCCUACCUCCUCAGGAACAGUGAUGCCAAAAGCAACUUCCCUCAUGGAGCUUGGUGAUGGUUGGUGCUAGUGGGAAAGUGCAACCGUAUUCUUGUUAGAUGAGUCUGUGCCUGGUUGCAUAAAGCACCUUAAGUGUAAUUUUCCCUUAAGAUCACUCUUUAGUUGCCCUACACUUAAGGGCAUUGCAUAAAAUAUCCCUUAAAUGUUACUUAAGGGUUUCUUUAGGUGAAAUGUCAAUAAACCCUUAGAAUUCCUCUUAAGUAUCCCUUAAAAUCCAUUAAGUGUUGCAUAAACCCUCUUAACUGUCAUUUGCCUAUGGAUAACAUAAAGGCUGUAAAAUGUCACCUUAGAUUUUACACAAAUGUCUUCUACAAGUCAUGAUCGGCCUCUUUAUAUGUUAAACAGAUUUUAAUUUACACAUUUAUUUACAUAGAAAUAUUGAUCAAAUUACAUACAGCACAUAAUUAGCUCAAACGUGAGUGCGUCACACUCAAGAGCAAAUUUAUAUUCUAUAAUGUUUUAUUCCUGUAUUUUCCUACAUAUUGCCUGGAGAUGACUUGAGAAACAAUAUAUAGUUGCAAUUGUGAGUUUAUUGUGUUUACGUUUCUACUUUUUUAUUCAAUUUAUAAGAUACUAUUUCUAUGAAUCCGGUUUAGACCAAUAUCAAAGUCCAAAUAUCCACUUGACCAAUGUUCUCAAUAGUAGUUUCCCAAUUAAGUUGUCCUGUGAGGGAAUCCCAACUGAAUCUCAAAUUUGAUUUUCCUGUGGACAUGUACAUAUGGGUCAGACAGGUUUGGAACGACAUAAGGGUGUGUAAAUUAUGACAGAAUUUUUAUUUUUGGUUAACUGUUCCUUUAAAGAUCUUUCUUCACCAAGUGAUGUAAUGACCAUUCAGUAAUGAAUGAUCUAAGAAUGUAAUUUGAGCUCUUAAUAGCAAGCUUAUGCGUGUGCAGCUUCAGUAGAGCUAAUAGAGUGAAUCUUCUAGUACUUCAUUUAAGUUUUCUUUCACUGUUUCAUAUUCUCUUCAUGUCAAAGUUUCAAGUAUUGCACAUUCAUUGACUCUUAGGUCUGAACUUAUGCUCUGAUGCUCUUCAGUAUAGCAUCCUCAAAUAUGCAAAAUGAAAUAAGGCAAUAUGUGGGUUAAAAUGUCUGUUUUCUUUUUCUUUUCUUUUUUUUUGGAGGCAGUUUGGUUUGCAUCUCUGGUUUGCAUUAGAAUUCAGCCAGUCAUUAAGUCAGUCAAGGCACACCAGUCACACUCUGAACAAAAAUGAGUUUGUAGAGUCCAGUCCAGCAUGGAUGUACGGGCAGGAGUUUUUUUCUACGGGCUUCACAGAGAGUUGACUGGGUGAGAGCAGAAGAUUUCAAAAGUCCAAAGAUAAGGGCCACUCUAGCCUGUAUUUUUCAAUUAAAAUCCUAUGUUAAUAUGAUAAUGCUUGCUGCGAUUAUGAGCUUAAUCACAUUUUUUAGAUUUAAGUAUUGCAUUUACAUGAGGUAAAGUUUAGCAGCAAUAUUGCCAAAAUCUCAUUAUAAUCGCAUUUAGAGGGUGCAUGUAAACACACUGAAUAAUGUCAGUGAACUCUGACAUAUUAGAGAGAUAUUAAACUGUCUGUGGUGGUGUGCUGUUUUGGAUGGUGUGAAGAGGGGAAGUACAUUGUGUUUAAAGAUGUUUCCUACUGAUAAAAGCACACAGGGGUGCGUUUCCCAAAACCAUAGUUGCUAACUAAGUUAGCAACUUUGUUGGUUGCAAUGCAAUUUCCCAUUGCCAACCAACUAAGUUGCUAACAGGUUAGCAACUAUGGUUUUGGGAAACGCACCCCAGAUCUGUUUCCUAUGUCUAAUAAUACAGUUCCUAAUCAGAAUAUGUUAAAAUGUGACAAUAGGAAGCCAUACGUUAACAAUGUAAUUGAAAGUAAAUAUCAUGUUGUACAUUACAUAUGUUUAAAAUUAUUAGCAGGAAUCGAAGGUGCAGGACACAACUGUUAUUUUAGGUUAAUCUGUUCAGCAAGUUUAGAUGCCAUGAAUUUGUUUUUAUAUAUAAAAUCGAGUUGUUCUGAUGACAGGUGGUGAGUGAGGGGGAGUGAGUGAUAAUGUAAUGUAGUGUAAUUUUGAUAAAAAUAUGCCAUUAAUUGCUUUUAACUUGACAUGUUGUAAUUUUCCAAAGUAAUAUCACUUGAAGUUUAAUGUUAUAUCCCAUGUCUGUAGAAUUAAUCUGUUUCUCUUAAAUUACAUUUUAUUGUAAACAUAGUCUUAAUGCUUGUAACUUAUUUGUGAGCAAAGCUGGGUAUACAGCAGAAAAGUUUAUCAUAACAUUUGAAAUACAAACAGUCAAAAGCUGUUGCGUGUUGCUUACAGUAUUAGUUUUUGAAAGAGUCCACACAGUGCUUUUUCUAACGAAGUCUAUAUUCAGUACAUAAUCUCCAGUUUGUUAAUAAGCAACUAACACAGCAAUAGUUUUUAAAUAGAGAUAGAAAUGUUUCACCAGCUGUUAAAUGACCACUUAUCAAAGUCUAUCAAUGUGGCUGUCAAGCUUUAAUCAGUAAAUUGUUAUGGUUAUGAUCUGUUUUGGUUUAGUUUUCUGUGUUUCUGUUCUCCUGCCUUGUUUGUUUCCAUGGUUUUUGAUUUAAUUAGCUCCAAACCUGUUUCAGUUCUCCCAAUUAAGUUUUUAUUACUUAAGUCUUUGUUCCCGUUUUGUUCCUUUGUCUGCUAUCAUUUGGAUUUGUGUUUGGUUGUGCCCAUUCUCUCCUGUGGAUUAUUAAAAGAACUCUGAUUAUA
Cyprinus carpio (common carp) is the source of this 4894-nucleotide long non-coding RNA. RefSeq lists it as uncharacterized. NCBI's taxonomy places the organism in Eukaryota, Metazoa, Chordata, Actinopteri, Cypriniformes, Cyprinidae. The record is from RefSeq and is a predicted model, not a curated record. The transcript has 3 exons.